RNAcentral lists this ribosomal RNA (357 nucleotides) under uncultured bacterium. Its description in RNAcentral is "bacterial SSU rRNA". It matches the Rfam family "Bacterial small subunit ribosomal RNA", at positions 71 to 422 of the family's 1533-position model. The record is from RNAcentral.
ACCGAGCCUUCGGGCUCGGGGACAGCGGCGAACGGGUGAGUAACACGUGGGCAACCUGCCCUCGGCACUGGGAUAGCCCGGGGAAACCCGGAUUAAUACCGGAUAGCCUCCGGAGCCUUCGGGCGCCGGAAGAAAGGUGGCUUCGGCAUCCGGCCGAGGACGGGCCCGCGGCGGAUUAGCUUGUUGGUGGGGUAAUGGCCUACCAAGGCAACAAUCCGUAGCUGGUCUGAGAGGACGAUCAGCCACACUGGGACUGAGACACGGCCCAGACUCCUACGGGAGGCAGCAGUGGGGAAUCUUGCGCAAUGGGCGAAAGCCUGACGCAGCGACGCCGCGUGCGGGAAGAAGGCCUUCGGG